CCGGACCGGACCGGCCCGGACCCGGACGGGUCAUAAAAUUUGGACCCGGACCCGGCCCGGCCCACCCGUUGGUCACCUAUGAUCUAAACAAAGUGCGAUAAACAUCUAUCGGGUUUAACUGCAAACCAAGCAAACGUCAUGAAUCAACUUAGCUAACUAUGCGAAAACCAGAAUUAGAACAAAGUUAAAACAACAGGAUUGCAUUAGAACAAGCAGACUUUAAGUGGAAUGACAUUAAAUACCAAAGGAAUGAACAUAACAUAAACACAAGUAGAGAGAAGUAAAAUUACGAGAGUAUAAGGUAAUAACAGUUGCAAACAAAGUAAACAAAAAAUAAAGAACUCAAAGUCUCAGGAAUAGCUGCGAUUACUGGAAAAUGAUGAAACCCCAAAUCCUAUUACUUCAGAGUUCACAAGAGCCUUGAAGUGGGUUCUGAGAAGCGCUUGCACUAGGGAAGGUUAAUGAGCAGAAUCCGGUGGUCUUGGCUUUUAGCCGACCAAAAUCAAAAUCUCAGAAUAAUAUAGAAUAAAUGAGAGUCGUAGCAGUAAUUAUUAAGACUUAGAGGGGAAGCGGGGGAAGGGGUUUAUGGUAGAAAUUGAAAGAACAAACAUGGAAAAUAAUCAAUUAAGCACAAAUAAGAAAGAAAAAUAUCACAUGAAAAUCAAAAUCAAUAGAGGAUAUGGAGAGUCUCAGGCCCUAAUUGGGUUCAAUCAUCUGAAAAUCGAACCAAGAGUGCAAAUUGCUCUUUGUUGAGCAUAUAUAGAUGAAAUACCGCCCGAAAUCUAAAGAUUCAAGUCAUUCCAGUCCGAUCUUGGAAGUGAUACGUGCCAAACUUAGGAAAGCACCUAAGUAACACCAUAAACGGACGACCAAUAAUGAGAGAAGACUAAUAAGGUAAGUAGAUCAUAGGUAGAUUCCAUCUCUGAGUUAGAAUCGAAGAGGAACUAAGCAGCGGUUGCUAGGGUUUGCAGAAGAACUAAGAAGGUUCAAGAGUGUAUGGAGGCGGUUGUUUUGAGAAGAGUGAUAUUUAGGUUGUGUUAUGGUGAUAUAAGGAAAAAAUGGGGAGGUACUGUGAGUCGUUAAUCUCGAGAGUUAAUGCCAGUGAUUUUAAAGAGAGAGAUAGGGCGAGUCAGUC
RNAcentral lists this long non-coding RNA (1135 nucleotides) under Nicotiana benthamiana. RNAcentral's name for it is "long non-coding RNA (NBEN_LNC039376)". Lineage: Eukaryota; Viridiplantae; Streptophyta; Magnoliopsida; Solanales; Solanaceae. The record is from RNAcentral.